Long non-coding RNA from Zea mays, 1033 nucleotides. RefSeq lists it as uncharacterized. NCBI's taxonomy places the organism in Eukaryota, Viridiplantae, Streptophyta, Magnoliopsida, Poales, Poaceae. The record is from RefSeq and is a predicted model, not a curated record. The transcript has 2 exons.
UUUUGCACCCCCACCCCUCUAAAUUUUUGAGCCGCCACUCUCUUCCUCCUUCUCCCUCGCGCAGGUCUGCUCCAGCCGACUCCCUGUCUUCUUCCCGACAGCGGCCAGCAGGGAGCUCGGCCAGCAGCCAUGGCGUCCUCCCCUACUUCCCCAUGGAAGUCGGCUCCAUCUCCAUGCUCCCUCCCUAGCCGAGCACCUCCAGCAGCUAUGGUUGAGCUUCUUUUCCCCCCUGAUGUUCCUUUGCGCGCACGAGCUCCCUGGGCCGACCUCGACGAGCUCCAUGUCCAUGGGCGACGCAGCAGCUCCAUUUCCUCCAUGGCCAUGGCGCCCCCCUGCUCUUCCCUGCCAGCGGCCAGGAAACGCCCAGGACCAGCACCCUACUCUGCCCAGCGCCCCCUUCUGCACGGCGUUCGGCAGCAGGGAGUUUUUUUUCUUCCCUGCGCGUAGGAGCUCAUUGGGAGCACGCCGACGCCCCUGCUCGCCCCCUCCAUCCUUUUCCCUUAGUGCGGCAGCGAGGAGCCCCUGCUCGGUCAGGUGCCAUGGCGUCCAACUUUUCUGCGCAGCAGUGCCGGUUCAAAAAAAAUAGCAGCCUCGGAUCCCCUCCGCACCGCGUGCUUCGCUCGAUCUGCGCAGUCCCGACCCACGCCGUCACGUUGGUGUUUGAGACAGCCCCGUGCCGCGUCGUCGAUCUACGCAGCGCUUGCGAGCCAUCGGAAAAAAUCUUUGCUAGAUGUUGUCGCAGCAUCUCGCGUGAUGCAUGAUUCGGUGAAGCACCUAAACCAUGGACGCAUGCGCGACUCGAAUCCAUGAUGCCAGGUUGAUGGAUUUAUAAUUUACUAUUGAUGUGAUUCGGUUGAUGGCAUGCAUAUAGAUAUGGUGUAUAUUGGUGUUGAAUAUGUGUGACUAUGAUAGUUCAUUUACGUGUCGCGAGGGUAGUUCGCCGAUAUAUUAAUUGAUUGUUAAAAUGCUUCAUCGUAAAAUAAUGUGUUUGUGCGGCAAAUUUAAUGAGGCGUAAAGCAUGCUUGGUAGUUUC